This 468-nucleotide ribosomal RNA is filed under the name uncultured bacterium. RNAcentral describes it as "partial 16S ribosomal RNA". It matches the Rfam family "Bacterial small subunit ribosomal RNA", at positions 28 to 507 of the family's 1533-position model. The record is from RNAcentral.
GACGAACGCUGGCGGCGUGCUUAACACAUGCAAGUCGAACGGAAAGGCCCUGCUUUUGUGGGGUGCUCGAGUGGCGAACGGGUGAGUAACACGUGAGUAACCUGCCCUUGACUUUGGGAUAACUUCAGGAAACUGGGGCUAAUACCGGAUAGGAGCUCCUGCUGCAUGGCGGGGGUUGGAAAGUUUCGGCGGUUGGGGAUGGACUCGCGGCUUAUCAGCUUGUUGGUGGGGUAGUGGCUGACCAAGGCUUUGACGGGUAGCCGGCCUGAGAGGGUGACCGGCCACAUUGGGACUGAGAUACGGCCCAGACUCCUACGGGAGGCAGCAGUGGGGAAUAUUGCACAAUGGGCGGAAGCCUGAUGCAGCAACGCCGCGUGCGGGAUGACGGCCUUCGGGUUGUAAACCGCUUUCGCCUGUGACGAAGCGUGAGUGACGGUAAUGGGUAAAGAAGCACCGGCUAACUACGUG